Molecule: ribosomal RNA, 478 nt
Filed under: uncultured bacterium
Lineage: Bacteria
Description: SSU rRNA
Rfam family: Bacterial small subunit ribosomal RNA
Source: RNAcentral
AGGACGAACGCUGGCGGCGUGCUUAACACAUGCAAGUGGAGCGACGAACCAGGGCUUGCCCUGGGGCAAAGCCGCGAACGGGUGAGUAACACGUGGGUAACCUGCCCCGAUGACCGGGAUAACCCGAGGAAACUCGAGCUAAUACCGGAUGUGCUGCACGGCCUCAAGGCCAUGUAGCAAAGGAAGCUUCGGCCUCCGCAUUGGGAGGGGCCCGCGGCCCAUUAGCUAGUUGGUGAGGUAAAGGCUCACCAAGGCAACGAUGGGUAGCUGGUCUGAGAGGACGAUCAGCCACACUGGGACUGAGACACGGCCCAGACUCCUACGGGAGGCAGCAGUGGGGAAUUUUCCGCAAUGGGCGAAAGCCUGACGGAGCAAGACCGCGUGGGGAAGAAGGCCCUCGGGUUGUAAACCGCUUUCAGCAGGAACGAAAUGACGGUACCUGCAGAAGAAGCCCCGGCAACUACGUGCCAGCAGCCGC